GUCCCAUAACGAGCGCAACCCUCAUCUAUUAGUUGCCAGCGGGUAAUGCCGGGGUACUCUAAUGAAACUGCCGGUGUAAACCGAGCAGGAAGGUGGGGAUGACGUCAAGUCAGCACGGCCCUUAUGUCCAGGGCUACACACCGUGUUACAAUGGUCGGUACAAAGGGCAGCUACCUGGUGACAGGAUGCUAAUCUCUAAAACCGGUCUCAGUUCGGAUCGAAGUCUGCAACUCGACUUCGUGAAGCUGGAUUCGCUAGUAAUCGCGCAUCAGCCCACGGCGCGGUGAAUACGUUCCCGGGCCUUGUACACACCGCCCGUCNAGCCAU
This 327-nucleotide ribosomal RNA is filed under the name uncultured CFB group bacterium B2M45. RNAcentral's name for it is "bacterial SSU rRNA". It matches the Rfam family "Bacterial small subunit ribosomal RNA", at positions 1084 to 1405 of the family's 1533-position model. Lineage: Bacteria; Pseudomonadati; Bacteroidota. The record is from RNAcentral.